RNAcentral lists this ribosomal RNA (303 nucleotides) under uncultured bacterium. Its description in RNAcentral is "bacterial SSU rRNA". It matches the Rfam family "Bacterial small subunit ribosomal RNA", at positions 1200 to 1502 of the family's 1533-position model. The record is from RNAcentral.
CCUUAGGAGUAGGGCUACACACGUGCUACAAUGGCGCAUACAGAGGGCGGCCAACUUGCGAAAGUGAGCGAAUCCCAAAAAGUGCGUCGUAGUCCGGAUUGGAGUCUGCAACUCGACUCCAUGAAGUCGGAAUCGCUAGUAAUCGUGGAUCAGAAUGCCACGGUGAAUACGUUCCCGAACCUUGUACACACCGCCCGUCACACCAUGGGAGUGGGCUGCAAAAGAAGUGGGUAGUUUAACCUUCGGGAGGACGCUCACCACUUUGUGGUUCAUGACUGGGGUGAAGUNNNNNCAAGGUAACCG